This is a long non-coding RNA of Serinus canaria (Common canary), 395 nucleotides long. RefSeq lists it as uncharacterized. The transcript has 3 exons. NCBI's taxonomy places the organism in Eukaryota, Metazoa, Chordata, Aves, Passeriformes, Fringillidae. The record is from RefSeq and is a predicted model, not a curated record.
AGUGUGUCCUGUACCCCUGUGUACAACUGCACCACCCAGUCUUCUCCCAAGAAAGAGUGGAGCAAAAGCUGGUGGGCAGCAGAGCUCAGAAGAGACCUUUGGAGAGAAGACCUGCCCAGUGUGGUACAUUCACCUGCUCAUCCACCUCCGGCAAACCAAGGGGACAAGACCCAAGUAUCUCUGCUCCUCACCCAGCAGAGCCCACUGUAUCAUCACUGCCAUUGCUUCCUCUUGCCUGCUCUCUGUGGGUCCCCAGGGAGAACAACAUGCUGGCCCCAAGCUCAUGAGCCCACAGCAACUGCCACGAUGUGUUGUUCCCAUGUCCUCAAUAUGUUCCACACCCUGGGGAGAUCCUGUCAGCCAGCAAGUGACACCAGGAGGGCAGCUGAGACCUG